RNAcentral lists this ribosomal RNA (479 nucleotides) under uncultured bacterium. Its description in RNAcentral is "SSU rRNA". It matches the Rfam family "Bacterial small subunit ribosomal RNA", at positions 26 to 518 of the family's 1533-position model. The record is from RNAcentral.
AGGAUGAACGCUGGCGGCGUGCUUAACACAUGCAAGUCGAACGGUGAAGUGAGGAGCUUGCUCCUUGCGGAUCAGUGGCGAACGGGUGAGUAACACGUGAGUAACCUGCCCUUGACUCUGGGAUAAGCGUUGGAAACGACGUCUAAUACCGGAUACGACCUCCGAAGGCAUCUUGUGGAGGUGGAAAGAAUUUCGGCCAAGGAUGGACUCGCGGCCUAUCAGCUAGUUGGUGAGGUAAUGGCCCACCAAGGCGACGACGGGUAGCCGGCCCUGAGAGGGUGACCGGCCACACUGGGACUGAGACACGGCCCAGACUCCUACGGGGGGCUGCAGUAACGAAUCUUCCGCAAUGCACGCAAGUGUGACGGAGCGACGCCGCGUGUGGGACGAAGCCCCUCGGGGUGUAAACCACUGUCAGGGGAUAGAAAGUUCUGAUCAUCCCCAGAGGAAGGCACGGCUAACUCUGUGCCAGCAGCCGC